UGUACUCAAUAUUGUAAGUUGCUCUGGAUAAGAGCAUCUGCUAAAUUCCUAAAA
Molecule: non-coding RNA, 54 nt
Organism: Salmo salar (Atlantic salmon)
Lineage: Eukaryota; Metazoa; Chordata; Actinopteri; Salmoniformes; Salmonidae
Source: Rfam